AUGGGAUGCACAGGACCCUGCUGGAGCUGGAUCCCGAAAUGGGAUGCACAGGACCCUGCUGGAGCUGGAUCCCGAAAUGGGAUGUGCAGGACCCUGCUGGAGCUGUAUCCCAGCAGGAAUGGGAUGCACAGGACCCGGCUGGAGCUGGAUCCCGAAAUGGGAUGCACAGGACCCGGCUGGAGCUGGAUCCCGAAAUGGGAUGCACAGGACCCGGCUGGAGCUGUAUCCCUGCAGGAAUGGGAUGUGCAGGACCCUGCUGGAGCUGUAUCCCUGCAGGAAUGGGAUGUGCAGGACCCGGCUGGAGCUGUAUCCCGGCAGGAAUGGGAUGCACAGGACCUUGAGUGCCAACUCCGGGCAUUCCCUGCCAUUACCUCCUGGCAGGAGCAAUCCCGUUUCUUCUCCACAGCCAAAAAUCACCCCCAGACACCCACCAGGAGCCGCUCCUUCCCAAAUCCAGGGAAAAGCGGCUCCCGCGCUCCGCAGGCUGCGGGCAGGAGAAGCCGCCAGGAGCACCAGGGAACGCUGCAGCAUCCUGAGCAACAUUCCAGUCACAGCCCUGAGCUUUCUCCUCUCCAGAACCUUCCCUGCCAGCAAACGCCACUGCGGGGACACGAGAGGGACGAAGGGAAGGUGAGGACCCAGCCCCGGCCUCACAUCCCUGUGAUCCCCUCGUCCCAAGGAACGGGAUUUGGGAAUUGCGAGCGGGAUGGAGCCGGAGCCCGGAGCUCUGCCCGCCCCAGGCUCGCUCCAGGCACAUCAAAUCCUCCCGUGGAGAGGCCCCGCUGGGGACACUGCAGCCACCGCCGGGGACACUGCAGCCACCGCCGGGGACACUGCAGCCACCGCCCGGGGACACUGCAGCCACCACUGGGGACAUUACAGCCACCGCCGGGGACACUGCAGCCACCACUGGGGACACUGCAGCCACCGCUGGGGACACUGCAGCCACUGCCCGGUGCUGGCUUUGGGACAGAGGGGACAGAGCCCGGAGCAGCCCGGGGAGCAGGGACAGCCUUAGGAGCAGAGCGGAGCAGCUCAGGCUGA
Molecule: long non-coding RNA, 1044 nt
Filed under: Parus major (Great Tit)
Lineage: Eukaryota; Metazoa; Chordata; Aves; Passeriformes; Paridae
Description: lncRNA (ENSPMJG00000016958.1)
Source: RNAcentral